Molecule: ribosomal RNA, 594 nt
Filed under: uncultured bacterium
Lineage: Bacteria
Description: bacterial SSU rRNA
Rfam family: Bacterial small subunit ribosomal RNA
Source: RNAcentral
AAACUCAAAGGAAUUGACGGGGGCCCGCACAAGCGGAGGAACAUGUGGUUUAAUUCGAUGAUACGCGAGGAACCUUACCCGGGCUUGAAUUGCAUCUGACGUGUGGAGAGAUUCGCAUUUCUUCGGACAGAUGUGAAGGUGCUGCAUGGUUGUCGUCAGCUCGUGCCGUGAGGUGUCGGCUUAAGUGCCAUAACGAGCGCAACCCUUAUUAUCAGUUACCAUCGGGCAAUGCCGGGUACUCUGGUGAGACUGCCGUCGUAAGAUGUGAGGAAGGUGGGGAUGACGUCAAAUCAGCACGGCCCUUACGUCCGGGGCUACACACGUGUUACAAUGGGGAGUACAGAAGGCAGCUACACCGCGAGGUGAUGCUAAUCCCGAAAGCUUCUCCCAGUUCGGACUGGAGUCUGCAACUCGACUCCACGAAGCUGGAUUCGCUAGUAAUCGCGCAUCAGCCAUGGCGCGGUGAAUACGUUCCCGGGCCUUGUACACACCGCCCGUCAAGCCAUGGGAGCCGGGGGUACCUGAAGCUCGUAACCGCAAGGAGCGACCUAGGGUAAAACCNGGUGACUGGGGCUAAGUCGUAACAAGGUAACC